Molecule: ribosomal RNA, 2758 nt
Filed under: Klebsiella pneumoniae
Lineage: Bacteria; Pseudomonadati; Pseudomonadota; Gammaproteobacteria; Enterobacterales; Enterobacteriaceae
Description: bacterial LSU rRNA
Rfam family: Bacterial large subunit ribosomal RNA
Source: RNAcentral
CACUAUCGUUAACUGAAUACAUAGGUUAACGAGGCGAACCGGGGGAACUGAAACAUCUAAGUACCCCGAGGAAAAGAAAUCAACCGAGAUUCCCCCAGUAGCGGCGAGCGAACGGGGAGCAGCCCAGAGUCUGAAUCAGCUUGUGUGUUAGUGGAACGGUCUGGAAAGUCCGACGGUACAGGGUGAUAGUCCCGUACACCAAAAUGCACAGGUUGUGAACUCGAAGAGUAGGGCGGGACACGUGGUAUCCUGUCUGAAUAUGGGGGGACCAUCCUCCAAGGCUAAAUACUCCUGACUGACCGAUAGUGAACCAGUACCGUGAGGGAAAGGCGAAAAGAACCCCGGCGAGGGGAGUGAAAAAGAACCUGAAACCGUGUACGUACAAGCAGUGGGAGCACCUUCGGGUGUGACUGCGUACCUUUUGUAUAAUGGGUCAGCGACUUAUAUUCUGUAGCAAGGUUAACCGUAUAGGGGAGCCGCAGGGAAACCGAGUCUUAACUGGGCGUUAAGUUGCAGGGUAUAGACCCGAAACCCGGUGAUCUAGCCAUGGGCAGGUUGAAGGUUGGGUAACACUAACUGGAGGACCGAACCGACUAAUGUUGAAAAAUUAGCGGAUGACUUGUGGCUGGGGGUGAAAGGCCAAUCAAACCGGGAGAUAGCUGGUUCUCCCCGAAAGCUAUUUAGGUAGCGCCUCGUGAACUCAUCUUCGGGGGUAGAGCACUGUUUCGGCUAGGGGGUCAUCCCGACUUACCAACCCGAUGCAAACUACGAAUACCGAAGAAUGUUAUCACGGGAGACACACGGCGGGUGCUAACGUCCGUCGUGAAGAGGGAAACAACCCAGACCGCCAGCUAAGGUCCCAAAGUCAUGGUUAAGUGGGAAACGAUGUGGGAAGGCACAGACAGCCAGGAUGUUGGCUUAGAAGCAGCCAUCAUUUAAAGAAAGCGUAAUAGCUCACUGGUCGAGUCGGCCUGCGCGGAAGAUGUAACGGGGCUAAACCAUGCACCGAAGCUGCGGCAGCGACACUAUGUGUUGUUGGGUAGGGGAGCGUUCUGUAAGCCUGCGAAGGUGUGCUGUGAGGCAUGCUGGAGGUAUCAGAAGUGCGAAUGCUGACAUAAGUAACGAUAAAGCGGGUGAAAAGCCCGCUCGCCGGAAGACCAAGGGUUCCUGUCCAACGUUAAUCGGGGCAGGGUGAGUCGACCCCUAAGGCGAGGCCGAAAGGCGUAGUCGAUGGGAAACAGGUUAAUAUUCCUGUACUUGGUGUUACUGCGAAGGGGGGACGGAGAAGGCUAUGUUAGCCGGGCGACGGUUGUCCCGGUUUAAGCAUGUAGGCUGGUUGUCCAGGCAAAUCCGGAUAAUCAAGGCUGAGGUGUGAUGACGAGGCACUACGGUGCUGAAGUAACAAAUGCCCUGCUUCCAGGAAAAGCCUCUAAGCAUCAGGUAACAUUAAAUCGUACCCCAAACCGACACAGGUGGUCAGGUAGAGAAUACCAAGGCGCUUGAGAGAACUCGGGUGAAGGAACUAGGCAAAAUGGUGCCGUAACUUCGGGAGAAGGCACGCUGGUGUGUAGGUGAAGUCCCUGCGGAUGGAGCUGAGACCAGUCGAAGAUACCAGCUGGCUGCAACUGUUUAUUAAAAACACAGCACUGUGCAAACACGAAAGUGGACGUAUACGGUGUGACGCCUGCCCGGUGCCGGAAGGUUAAUUGAUGGGGUUAUCCGUAAGGAGAAGCUCUUGAUCGAAGCCCCGGUAAACGGCGGCCGUAACUAUAACGGUCCUAAGGUAGCGAAAUUCCUUGUCGGGUAAGUUCCGACCUGCACGAAUGGCGUAAUGAUGGCCAGGCUGUCUCCACCCGAGACUCAGUGAAAUUGAACUCGCUGUGAAGAUGCAGUGUACCCGCGGCAAGACGGAAAGACCCCGUGAACCUUUACUAUAGCUUGACACUGAACAUUGAGCCUUGAUGUGUAGGAUAGGUGGGAGGCUUUGAAGCGUGGACGCCAGUCUGCGUGGAGCCAACCUUGAAAUACCACCCUUUAAUGUUUGAUGUUCUAACGUUGGCCCCUGACCGGGGUUGCGGACAGUGUCUGGUGGGUAGUUUGACUGGGGCGGUCUCCUCCCAAAGCGUAACGGAGGAGCACGAAGGUUAGCUAAUCCUGGUCGGACAUCAGGAGGUUAGUGCAAUGGCAUAAGCUAGCUUGACUGCGAGCGUGACGGCGCGAGCAGGUGCGAAAGCAGGUCAUAGUGAUCCGGUGGUUCUGAAUGGAAGGGCCAUCGCUCAACGGAUAAAAGGUACUCCGGGGAUAACAGGCUGAUACCGCCCAAGAGUUCAUAUCGACGGCGGUGUUUGGCACCUCGAUGUCGGCUCAUCACAUCCUGGGGCUGAAGUAGGUCCCAAGGGUAUGGCUGUUCGCCAUUUAAAGUGGUACGCGAGCUGGGUUUAGAACGUCGUGAGACAGUUCGGUCCCUAUCUGCCGUGGGCGCUGGAGAAUUGAGGGGGGCUGCUCCUAGUACGAGAGGACCGGAGUGGACGCAUCACUGGUGUUCGGGUUGUCAUGCCAAUGGCACUGCCCGGUAGCUAAAUGCGGAAGAGAUAAGUGCUGAAAGCAUCUAAGCACGAAACUUGCCCCGAGAUGAGUUCUCCCUGAGACUUUAAGUCUCCUGAAGGAACGUUGAAGACGACGACGUUGAUAGGCCGGGUGUGUAAGCGCAGCGAUGCGUUGAGCUAACCGGUACUAAUGAACCGUGAGGCUUAACCUU